Molecule: ribosomal RNA, 485 nt
Filed under: uncultured bacterium
Lineage: Bacteria
Description: bacterial SSU rRNA
Rfam family: Bacterial small subunit ribosomal RNA
Source: RNAcentral
GAUGAACGCUAGCUACAGGCUUAACACAUGCAAGUCGAGGGGCAUCACAGUGUAGCAAUACACGGGUGGCGACCGGCGCACGGGUGCGUAACACGUAUCCAAUCUGCCCGUUACUCGGGGAUAGCCUUCUGAAAGGAAGAUUAAUACCCGAUGGCAUGUAUUUCCGGCAUCGGAGAUACAUUAAAGAUUUAUCGGUAACGGAUGAGGAUGCGUACGAUUAGCUUGUUGGCGGGGUAACGGCCCACCAAGGCUACGAUCGUUAGGGGUUCUGAGAGGAAGGUCCCCCACACUGGAACUGAGACACGGUCCAGACUCCUACGGGAGGCAGCAGUGAGGAAUAUUGGUCAAUGGUCAGACGACUGAACCAGCCAUGCCGCGUGAAGGUGACGGCCCUAUGGGUCUUAAACUUCUUUUGUAAGGGAGCAAUAAGGGUCACGUGUGGCCUGAUGAGAGUACCUUACGAAUAAGCAUCGGCUAACUCCGUG